RNAcentral lists this ribosomal RNA (749 nucleotides) under soil bacterium is120. RNAcentral's name for it is "bacterial SSU rRNA". It matches the Rfam family "Bacterial small subunit ribosomal RNA", at positions 19 to 767 of the family's 1533-position model. The record is from RNAcentral.
CUGGNUCAGGAUGAACGCUAGCGGGAGGCCUAACACAUGCAAGCCGAGCGGUAGAGAUUCUUCGGAAUCUUGAGAGCGGCGCACGGGUGCGGAACACGUGUGCAACCUGCCUUUAUCAGGGGAAUAGCNUUUCGAAAGGAAGAUUAAUGCCCCAUAAUAUUUAGAAUGGCAUUCAUUUUAAAUUGAAAACUCCGGUGGAUAGAGAUGGGCACGCGCAGGAUUAGAUAGUUGGUAGGGUAACGGCAUACCAAGUCNACGAUCCUUAGGGGGCCUGAGAGGGUGAUCCCCCACACUGGUACUGAGACACGGACCAGACUCCUACGGGAGGCAGCAGUGAGGAAUAUUGGACAAUGGGUGAGAGCCUGAUCCAGCCAUCCCGCGUGAAGGACGACGGCCCUAUGGGUUGUAAANUUCUUUUGUACAGGGAUAAACCUUUCCACGUGUGGGAAGCUGAAGGUACUGUACGAAUAAGCACCGGCUAACUCCGUGCCAGCAGCCGCGGUAAUACGGAGGGUGCAAGCGUUAUCCGGAUUUAUUGGGUUUAAAGGGUCCGUAGGCGGACUNGUAAGUCAGUGGUGAAAUCUCACAGCUUAACUGUGAAACUGCCAUUGAUACUGCGGGUCUUGAGUGUUGUUGAAGUAGCUGGAAUAAGUAGUGUAGCGGUGAAAUGCAUAGAUAUUACUUAGAACACCAAUUGCGAAGGCAGGUUACUAAGCAACAACUGACUCNAAUGGGGGCAAGCGUGGGAG